This 72-nucleotide microRNA precursor is filed under the name Myotis brandtii (Brandt's bat). RNAcentral's name for it is "mir-9193 microRNA precursor family". It matches the Rfam family "mir-9193 microRNA precursor family". The record is from Rfam by way of RNAcentral. Lineage: Eukaryota; Metazoa; Chordata; Mammalia; Chiroptera; Vespertilionidae.
CUCGGGUGGGGGGUCACUCAGCCUGGAUUGCAAGAGGGUGCAGGCCAGGCCAAGGGGCCCCACCGGUGCAUG